AGCAGCCGCGGUAAUUCCAGCUCCAAUAGCGUAUAUUAAAGUUGUUGCAGUUAAAAAGCUCGUAGUUGAAUUUCGGGGUCAAUACGUUGGUCGUGCUUUCGGGUACGUACUGGCGUCAUUGGUUUCUCUCUUCUGACGAACCAUGAUGUCAUUAAUUUGGUGUUAUGGGGAGUUAGGACUGUUACUUUGAAAAAAUUAGAGUGUUUAAAGCAGGCUUACGCUUGAAUACAUUAGCAUGGAAUAAUGAAAUAGGACGUUUGAUCCUAUUUUGUUGGUUUCUAGGAUUGACGUAAUGAUUAAUAGGGAUAGUUGGGGGCAUUAGUAUUCAAUUGUCAGAGGUGAAAUUCUUGGAUUUAUUGAAGACUAACUACUGCGAAAGCAUUUGCCAAGGAUGUUUUCAUUAAUCAAGAACGAAAGUUAGGGGAUCGAAGACGAUCAGAUACCGUCGUAGUCUUAACCAUAAACUAUGCCGACUAGGGAUCGGAUGAUGUUAAUUUUUUUCAAUGACUCAUUCGGCGCC
Molecule: ribosomal RNA, 520 nt
Filed under: uncultured Glomus
Lineage: Eukaryota; Fungi; Glomeromycota; Glomeromycetes; Glomerales; Glomeraceae
Description: SSU rRNA
Rfam family: Eukaryotic small subunit ribosomal RNA
Source: RNAcentral